GGGUUGUGAGGUUAAGCGACUAAGCGUACACGGUGGAUGCCCUGGCAGUCAGAGGCGAUGAAGGACGUGCUAAUCUGCGAUAAGCGCCGGUAAGGUGAUAUGAACCGUUAUAACCGGCGAUUUCCGAAUGGGGAAACCCAGUGUGAUUCGUCACACUAUCAUUACGUGAAUACAUAGCGUAAUGAAGCGAACCGGGGGAACUGAAACAUCUAAGUACCCCGAGGAAAAGAAAUCAACCGAGAUUCCCCCAGUAGCGGCGAGCGAACGGGGAGGAGCCCAGAGCCUGAAUCAGCAUGUGUGUUAGUGGAAGCGUCUGGAAAGGCGCGCGAUACAGGGUGACAGCCCCGUACACAAAAGCGCAUGUGCUGUGAGCUCGAUGAGUAGGGCGGGACACGUGGUAUCCUGUCUGAAUAUGGGGGGACCAUCCUCCAAGGCUAAAUACUCCUGACUGACCGAUAGUGAACCAGUACCGUGAGGGAAAGGCGAAAAGAACCCCGGCGAGGGGAGUGAAAAAGAACCUGAAACCGUGUACGUACAAGCAGUGGGAGCACAGGUUUACCUGUGUGACUGCGUACCUUUUGUAUAAUGGGUCAGCGACUUAUAUUCUGUAGCAAGGUUAACCGUAUAGGGGAGCCGGAGGGAAACCGAGUCUUAACCGGGCGUUAAGUUGCAGGGUAUAGACCCGAAACCCGGUGAUCUAGCCAUGGGCAGGUUGAAGGUUGGGUAACACUAACUGGAGGACCGAACCGACUAAUGUUGAAAAAUUAGCGGAUGACCUGUGGCUGGGGGUGAAAGGCCAAUCAAACCGGGAGAUAGCUGGUUCUCCCCGAAAGCUAUUUAGGUAGCGCCUCGUGAAUUCAUCUCCGGGGGUAGAGCACUGUUUCGGCUAGGGGGCCAUCCCGGCUUACCAACCCGAUGCAAACUGCGAAUACCGGAGAAUGUUAUCACGGGAGACACACGGCGGGUGCUAACGUCCGUCGUGAAGAGGGAAACAACCCAGACCGCCAGCUAAGGUCCCAAAGUCAUGGUUAAGUGGGAAACGAUGUGGGAAGGCCCAGACAGCCAGGAUGUUGGCUUAGAAGCAGCCAUCAUUUAAAGAAAGCGUAAUAGCUCACUGGUCGAGUCGGCCUGCGCGGAAGAUGUAACGGGGCUAAACCAU
RNAcentral lists this ribosomal RNA (1159 nucleotides) under Salmonella enterica subsp. enterica serovar Bareilly. Its description in RNAcentral is "partial 23S ribosomal RNA". It matches the Rfam family "Bacterial large subunit ribosomal RNA", at positions 1 to 1190 of the family's 2925-position model. The record is from RNAcentral. Lineage: Bacteria; Pseudomonadati; Pseudomonadota; Gammaproteobacteria; Enterobacterales; Enterobacteriaceae.